RNAcentral lists this ribosomal RNA (219 nucleotides) under uncultured bacterium. RNAcentral describes it as "partial 16S ribosomal RNA". It matches the Rfam family "Bacterial small subunit ribosomal RNA", at positions 328 to 539 of the family's 1533-position model. The record is from RNAcentral.
ACGCUCGACACCUACUGGAGGCAGCAGUGAGGAAUAUUGGUCAAUGGGCGCAGGCCUGAACCAGCCAAGUAGCGUGAAGGAUGACUGCCCUAUGGGUUGUAAACUUCUUUUAUAUCGGGAAUAAAGUUUUCCACGUGUGGAAUUUUGUAUGUACCAUAUGAAUAAGGAUCGGCUAACUCCGUGUCAGCAGCCGCGGUAAUCUGAGCGGGCUGGCAAGGC